GUCAGGGUGGCCGAGGGGUCUAAGGUGCCAGCCUCAAGAUCUGGAGGCAUGGGUUCGAAUCCCACUCCUGACA
Hypanus sabinus (Atlantic stingray) is the source of this 73-nucleotide non-coding RNA. Lineage: Eukaryota; Metazoa; Chordata; Chondrichthyes; Myliobatiformes; Dasyatidae. The record is from the annotation of a RefSeq genome assembly.